CAUGCUCAGCGCGUGCUCGGCGCUGCUGGAGGGCGGGCCCUCUGCCAGGCCUCGGUAGUCCGGGACGCUGCGAUUACAGGUGCGCAGCGGGCAGCCCUGCUGUUUCACGCCCGAAGCCCCGAGGUUCUCAGUCAGCCACAAGUCGCAGGAGAGAGUAGGGCUCGGUGGUUUGUAGAGCUCGAUGGUUGCACUGUGAGUACCGAGCAGAGAAAAUUGCCACCAAAAAGAGGAAAGGCUGCCGGGCGGUGGAAGGCAGAGGCAGACAGAUCUCUGAGUUCGCGGCCAGUAUGUCCCAGGACAGCCAAAGCUACGCGGAGAAACCCUGUCUCCAAAAACCGAAACCAAAAGAAAGAAAGAAACAGAAAAGAAAAAAAGGCUUUAGGAACAGGGGAGGCAAUUUAUUCAAGAUAUUAAAAUUUUUCAUGUUGCAUAUCAUCUAUAGGGACUUGAUCACUUUUUUGUUGAGAUAGGGUCUCACUGUGUAGCACAGUGAGUUCCCAGCUGGCUGGGAACUUGCCAUUAGACCAGGCUGACUUCAGUGUCGCAGACAUCCACCUGCCUCUGUCUCCUGAGUGUUGAGAUUAAAGGUGUGCUCCAUCGUGCCCGGCAUGCCUAGCUUUUAAAAAUGUAUGUACUGGGGAUCUAAACUCAGGUCCUAACACUUGAAAGGCAAGCACUUUAUUCCCUGAGCCAUCUUCCCAGCGGUCUUUUGCUGGGAGCAGUUGCAUGCUGGAUUGGCAGAAGCAAGCAAGUGGGCUUCCUGGAGGCAGCCCACUCGUUUUUGUUUUUUUGUUUUGUUUUGUUUUGUUUUGUUUACAGCUGAUGCAUGGGUGUGUCCCUGGUUUAGGCAAGGCCCCAAGGAUUUUGUCUCAAGACUGCUUAUUAUGCUAUACUGCCAGUCCAUUCUUGUCUCAUAUAUCUGGCAUGGCAGAGACCCUCACUGCUUACUGCUUUCACUCUGUUGGGCAGGUUUCCUGUAGAUGAUUUUGAAGAUGUACCUUCAUGGCUAGUGCUGUUUAAAGGAACUGAUCAUUUAAUAAUCCCUGAUGAUGAUUUUAAAGAAUUUCUGACUUGAUUUAAGUAAUUUAAAAACCCUCCUGCAGUAUAGCAGAAACUAGGAGCUAGGAGCUCUAUGAACCUCCAUAUAUCAAGCACUUGAUAUACAUCUAGAGGGAAAAUAAGACUGAAACAAAUUAAUAGUCAAAGAGAUGGAUUCACUCUAGGUUUAGUCCAAGGAUAAGGCCCAGUUGUACACCAAGAUGAGAAAGACCAUAUGAAUAUAGAAACAAAGAAUAAAUUGUUAGCUAUACAAGGCAAGACAGAUACCUGUUUCUUAGGAAAACCUUGACAUAAAAAAACUAUCCUUUGAGGGGGCUGCAGCUGGGAUACAAAAUGAAUAAACUAUAAUAAAUUAAAAAAUUUAAAAACUAUCCUUUGAAAUAAUAAUGAAAGAUAACUAGUGAAAGAUAAAACUGCUUUGAACUCAUAAUAAGCAUGUAGAUAAAACCACUGCUUUAAACUUACAAUGAAAGUAUCUAGUUAGUAUAGUUCUAAUGAAAGAACUUCAAAUCAGGAUUCCUACUGUAACUCUCUUUCUGUGUGUCCAUGUAUCUAUUCUUGAAUGAAAUAAUUUUUUCCAUACAUAGAGAACCUUUGUAUUAGACUGCAUACAAGUCCAAGACAGAAUUAAACAUUUGUCGAGGGGAAGGGCUCUCUUCCUGUCAAGGUGGACACGUUUGCAGGUUCAUCUACAGUUCCUGGAGGCCGAUGACAUCUGUUAACUGUGUCAAGCACAGGGGCAUGCGAUGGCACAGACCAGAGGAAAGCUGCAGGACUUGGGUAGGUGGAAGCUGGCAUCUAUCCGUGGGAUGCCAGGCUUGGAAGAAGUGUCUGAAGAGUUUGAUUGACUGAUUACAGCUACAGUGAUGUGGACAGUUUAGAAUGUUGCUGGUCCAGAGUCUGAUUCCCCGAAUAGCCCCCGAAGCCAUUUCUCUGUGCCCACCUCUGUGUCAAAUCAUCCUGCAACUUAUAGACUAAACUAACGGACAUCUAGCUUCCACCAAUCCAGAAGCGAAGAAUGGCCUCAGAUGGCCUGUGAGGCCUGUGGGAAAGCUCACUUCAGCUUUCUGGAGCCCUCUCUUUGAUAUAUCCACCAGCGUGUUUUAACUUGCCAUAAUAUGUUAAUGUAAGACUGUAACAUUACAUGAAACUGCUUCCACGUGGGAACAUGGAAUUGGGGUAACCUAUAGCCGGGUUCCCAUGCCAUGAUCGCUCAGUUAGGACUUAGAAUAAACUAUCUCCUACUCCCCUUAAAGUGAGAGCUGUGGUUGUACAGCAGCAGCAGCAGCAAAGGCUUCCAUUCCCUAAGCCAUCCUACUAGCCCAGCGAUGGCUUUUUUUUCUGGUGGGGGGGUAGAAAGUUUUCAUAGCGAACUUUCAUAGACAUUUAAAAAAUAAAAUCGAGGUAAUAUCUGUC
Meriones unguiculatus (Mongolian gerbil) is the source of this 2475-nucleotide long non-coding RNA. RefSeq lists it as uncharacterized. NCBI's taxonomy places the organism in Eukaryota, Metazoa, Chordata, Mammalia, Rodentia, Muridae. The record is from RefSeq and is a predicted model, not a curated record. The transcript has 3 exons.